RNAcentral lists this ribosomal RNA (408 nucleotides) under uncultured bacterium. Its description in RNAcentral is "partial 16S ribosomal RNA". It matches the Rfam family "Bacterial small subunit ribosomal RNA", at positions 28 to 526 of the family's 1533-position model. The record is from RNAcentral.
GACGAACGCUGGCGGCGUGCUUAACACAUGCCAGUCGAACGAAGUGGCGAACGGGUGAGUAACGCGUAAUCAACCUGCCCUUCAGAGGGGGACAACAGUUGGAAACGACUGCUAAUACCGCAUACUGAAGGCGGGGAUUGCGUCUGAUUAGCUAGUUGGAGGGGAAACGGCCCACCAGGGCGAUGAUCAGUAGCAGGUCGGAGAGGAUGAACGGCAACAGUGGGACGGAGACACGGCCCAGACUCCUACGGGAGGCAGCAGGGGGGAAUCUGCCGCAAUGGACGAAAGGCUGACGGAGCAACGCGGCGUGAGUGAUGACGGCCGUCGGGUGGUAAAGCUCUGUUAAUCGGGACGCGGUACCGGAAUAGAAAGCCACGGCUAACUACGUGCCAGCAGCCGCGGUAAUAC